RNAcentral lists this ribosomal RNA (67 nucleotides) under Bacteroides xylanisolvens. RNAcentral's name for it is "partial 16S ribosomal RNA". The stretch from base 1 to 60 matches the Rfam family "Bacterial small subunit ribosomal RNA", at positions 1474 to 1533 of the family's 1533-position model. The record is from RNAcentral. Lineage: Bacteria; Pseudomonadati; Bacteroidota; Bacteroidia; Bacteroidales; Bacteroidaceae.
AUUGGGGCUAAGUCGUAACAAGGUAGCCGUACCGGAAGGUGCGGCUGGAACACCUCCUUUCUGGAGC